RNAcentral lists this ribosomal RNA (253 nucleotides) under uncultured bacterium. RNAcentral describes it as "partial 16S ribosomal RNA". It matches the Rfam family "Bacterial small subunit ribosomal RNA", at positions 524 to 776 of the family's 1533-position model. The record is from RNAcentral.
GACAGAGGGUGCAAACGUUGUUCGGAAUCACUGGGCGUAAAGCGCGUGUAGGCGGCCAUGCAAGUCGGAUGUGAAAUCCCGCGGCUCAACCGUGGAAGUGCACCCGAAACUGCAUAGCUAGAGUGUCGGAGAGGAAGGUGGAAUGCUUGGUGUAGAGGUGAAAUUCGUAGAUAUCAAGCGGAACACCGGUGGCGAAGGCGGCCUUCUGGACGACGACUGACGCUGAGACGCGAAAGCGUGGGUAGCAAACAGG